Molecule: ribosomal RNA, 109 nt
Filed under: Canis lupus familiaris (dog)
Lineage: Eukaryota; Metazoa; Chordata; Mammalia; Carnivora; Canidae
Also listed under: 1 other name
Source: RNAcentral
GUCUACGGCCAUACCACCCUGAAUGCUCCCGAUCUCGUCUGAUCUCGGAAGCUAAGCAGGGUCGGGCCUGGUUAGUACUUGGAUGGGAGAAUGUGCACAGCUGCUGUCC